AAUAAAACAUUACAAAAAAUUAAAAUUGGAAUGAUACGAGAAGAUUAGCAUGGCCCCUGCACAAGGAUGACAUGCAAAUUUGUGAAGCAUUCCAUAUUUCU
This 101-nucleotide small nuclear RNA is filed under the name Suricata suricatta (meerkat). The record is from RNAcentral. Lineage: Eukaryota; Metazoa; Chordata; Mammalia; Carnivora; Herpestidae.